RNAcentral lists this ribosomal RNA (473 nucleotides) under uncultured bacterium. RNAcentral's name for it is "partial 16S ribosomal RNA". It matches the Rfam family "Bacterial small subunit ribosomal RNA", at positions 28 to 507 of the family's 1533-position model. The record is from RNAcentral.
GGUGAACGCUGGCGGCGUGCCUAAGACAUGCAAGUCGAGCGGGCCGCGGGGUUUUACUCCGUGGUCAGCGGCGGACGGGUGAGUAACGCGUGGGUGACCUACCCGGAAGAGGGGGACAACCCGGGGAAACUCGGGCUAAUCCCCCAUGUGGACCCGCCCCUUGGGGUGUGUCCAAAGGGCUUUGCCCGCUUCCGGAUGGGCCCGCGUCCCAUCAGCUAGUUGGUGGGGUAAUGGCCCACCAAGGCGACGACGGGUAGCCGGCCUGAGAGGGUGGCCGGCCAAAGGGGCACUGAGACACGGGCCCCACGCCUACGGGAGGCAGCAGUGAGGAAUCUUCCGCAAUGGGCGCAAGCCUGACGGAGCGACGCCGCUGGGAGGAAGAAGCCCUUCGGGGUGUAAACUCCUGAACCCGGGACGAAACCCCCGACGAGGGGACUGACGGUACCGGGGUAAUAGCGCCGGCCAACUCCGUG